Molecule: small nucleolar RNA, 216 nt
Organism: Sarcophilus harrisii (Tasmanian devil)
Lineage: Eukaryota; Metazoa; Chordata; Mammalia; Dasyuromorphia; Dasyuridae
Gene: U3
Rfam family: Small nucleolar RNA U3
About the family: Small nucleolar RNAs (snoRNAs) are involved in the processing and modification of rRNA in the nucleolus.
Source: Ensembl
AAGACUAUACUUUCAGGGGAUCAUUUUCAUAGUAUCCCGACUAAGAAAUUGUGGCUGAAAGUGUAUCAUGGAGAUAACCACGAGGAGUUGGAGCGUUCUCUUCUCAGGCGUGAGAAGCCGGCUUGUGGUGCUGCUUCUCAGCAGCUGUCACUUGCCAUUGAUGAUUGAUGCUUCCUUCCAGGUUGGGUGAGAGGAAGGGAUCGCCAGGCUAGUGAA